Long non-coding RNA from Poecilia latipinna (sailfin molly), 1717 nucleotides. RefSeq lists it as uncharacterized. Lineage: Eukaryota; Metazoa; Chordata; Actinopteri; Cyprinodontiformes; Poeciliidae. The transcript is spliced from 2 exons. The record is from RefSeq and is a predicted model, not a curated record.
CACUAUAAUCUCCUUGGUUUUGCCUGUAUAAAGGAUCAAGUUGUCUGUCCACCACGCUAUAAGUCACUCCACCUCGUUCCUGUAGGCAGGCUCAUCUCCCCCUGAGAUGAGACCCACUACAGUUGUGUGGUCUCGAAAUACAAUCGUGUGUACAGCGUGAAGAGCAGAGGGCUCAGCACACUUCCCUGAGAGUCGGUGCUGAUGCUGAUAACUGAAGAGGUAUGCAGGCCCACUCUGACUCUUUGUUUGUGAUCUGUCAUGAAGUCCUUAAUCCAGCAACAGGUGGAAGAGGGGAUUCCCAGGUCUGCCAGUUUACACACUAAUAUGUCAUGGAGGAUGGUAUUGAAAGCCAAGUUAAAAUUAGUGAAGAGGAUUUGUGCGUAGCGUUCCAGGUGGGACAAGACAGCAUGCAGGACAGUGGCAACAACAUCUUCAGUUAACCUGUUAACUCUAUAAGCAAACUGGUGCAUAUCAAAGGUGUGAGGAAUGAACCCCAAGAUGUGACUCUUAACCAGUCUUUCGAAACAUUUCAUCACCAAUGGGGUGAAAGCCACUAGUCGGUAGUCAUUCAGCCAGGUGAUCUGUGAUGUGAUUUAUUAUUUUUUUUUUAGGAAUGGGAAUGAUGGUGGAGAUGGGCAUGAUGGGACUCUGGCCUGAGACAGGGACAGAUGUUAAGAUCUUUAGUAAAUACCCUAUCCAGCUGUUCUGCACAGUACCUCAGCACACAUCCAGGAGCACCAUCAGAUCCUGCUGCCUUUCUGGGAUGGACAGAGUAUAGCGAGCGUCUCACCUCACUUCAUAUUCCUCCACCUUGAGGAUAAAGUUGCUUAACUGCACUACUGCAUUCAGAACAGCCGUAACUGGAGGCUUCGACCCGAAACGAGUAAAGAAGUGGUUCAACAUCUCCACGUCAGUUGCUCCAUUGCAGCUGAAGCUGUAGUUGAUGUGCUGGAUUCCCACCCAAACCUGCCUGCUGUUAUUGCCUGGGUGCUCCUUCAUCCUCCUCUUGUAAUCUCUUUUAGCCUUUCUGAUUCCUCUCUUUUGGUCACUCCAUGCAAGCUGCAUUGAAUUGAGUUCAUGUAAAGUUUAGGGUUAAGUAUAUACUGGUAAUGGUUCGGUUUAGUUGGGGUUAGGCGAUAGAAAUGAAUGGCAGUCGGAUAAAGAAGCAUAACGUGUGCGUAUAUUUGUUCAGAUGCUGGGAGUCCAGGGUGCCAGUCAGCAGUACCCAGGGGAGAAUGCCUGCCAGUUGGCCAGGAUUGUAUGUGCCACAGUGCUGGCUGGAGAGCUCUCACUGCUGAGUGCUCUGGCUGCUGGGCACCUUGUCAAGAGUCACAUGACUCAUAACAGAUCUAAGGUGGACCUACAUGGGACUCGGGGAACAAUGCAGACUGAAAGAAGUUAGGUCUUGUUCAAGAAACUGGAUGGAAGCCAUAAAGAUUAAGCCAGUUUGAACGGAUUAAUCAUUUAUCAAUGAAGAAAAGAUCUCACCUGUCUUCCACAGCUCUUGAUACAAGAUCAUAUUUUGAUCAAGUAUUGUUCAGUGCAUAAAAAAAAUCUUAAGCAACUCAGUUUUUCUUACUGCAUCUACUUGUAUUUGAUGAUUUUGUCAUCAAGCAUUUUUGCCAAACUAAUCAAACUGAGAUGUACAAAGGUAAAACUUGAGCUCAAUAAAUGUUUCUUGCUGGGGAGUCAUACUCACCAGCAAAGCUGCUUUUUA